Molecule: long non-coding RNA, 346 nt
Filed under: Homo sapiens (human)
Lineage: Eukaryota; Metazoa; Chordata; Mammalia; Primates; Hominidae
Description: HSALNT0118729
Source: RNAcentral
CUCUAGCCCUGGGGGACCUUGUGUCUUUGAUUACCUCUGCAGGACUUAGGAAGACUAGGAGCUGGAAUUAAUCUCUACUGGAAUUUGCAAAACUCUAUUUAGGUCUAGAAUUUCCCAUGAUCACAAGUCUGGACAUUUUACUGUCUUCUAGAUUCAUUUCAGCACUCCCAGAGUAUUGGAGGAAACAAAAUUGUAAAUAAACUGAAGAACCACUGUGGUGACGCCAUGCACCUUUACAGACAAGGAGGAGAGUUAUUCAACUGCCACUGAACAACUCUGGCUGCAACACAGCUGCUAAGAGUUCUUUAUGUCGGCCGGGCGCGGUGGCUCACGCCUGUAAUCCCAG